AGCGAAGCGGGAAGAGCUCAAAUUUAUAAUCUGGCACUUUCAGUGUCCGAGUUGUAAUCUCUAGAAGUGUUUUCCGCGUUGGACCGCACACAAGUCUGUUGGAAUACAGCGGCACAGUGGUGACACCCCCGUACACGGUGCGGACGCCCAGCGCUUUGUGAUACACUUUCGAAGAGUCGAGUUGUUUGGGAAUGCAGCUCAAAUUGGGUGGUAAAUUCCAUCUAAAGCUAAAUAUUGGCGAGAGACCGAUAGCGAACAAGUACCGUGAGGGAAAGAUGAAAAGCACUUUGGAAAGAGAGUUAACAGUACGUGAAAUUGUUGGAAGGGAAACGCUUGAAGUCAGACUUGCUUGCCGGAGCUUGCUUCGGUUUGCAGGCCAGCAUCAGUUUUCCGGGGUGGAUAAUGGCGGUUAGAAGGUAGCAGCUUCAGCUGUGUUAUAGCUUUCCGCUGGAUACAUCCUGGGGGACUGAGGAACGCAGCGUGCUUUUAGCGGGGGUUUCGACCUCUUCACGCUUAGGAUGCUGGUGUAAUGGCUUUAAACGACCCGUCUUGAA
RNAcentral lists this ribosomal RNA (554 nucleotides) under Rhodotorula paludigena. RNAcentral describes it as "partial large subunit ribosomal RNA". It matches the Rfam family "Eukaryotic large subunit ribosomal RNA", at positions 92 to 658 of the family's 3401-position model. Lineage: Eukaryota; Fungi; Basidiomycota; Microbotryomycetes; Sporidiobolales; Sporidiobolaceae. The record is from RNAcentral.